Molecule: ribosomal RNA, 251 nt
Filed under: uncultured bacterium
Lineage: Bacteria
Description: partial 16S ribosomal RNA
Rfam family: Bacterial small subunit ribosomal RNA
Source: RNAcentral
ACACGAGUGGCGCACGGGUGAGUAACACGUGAGUAACCUGCCUUUAACAUUGGGAUAACAGUUGGAAACGACUGCUAAUACCGAAUAAUAUAUAUUGCUGAUAGGGUGAUAUAUCAAAGGAGCAAUCCGGUUUUAGAUGGACUCGCGUAUCAUUAGAUAGUUGGUGAGGUAAUGGCUCACCAAGUCAUAGAUGAUUAGCUGGUUUGAGAGGAUGAUCAGCCACACUGGAACUGAGACACGGUCCAGACUCC